RNAcentral lists this long non-coding RNA (1131 nucleotides) under Homo sapiens (human). Its description in RNAcentral is "HSALNT0173631". The record is from RNAcentral. Lineage: Eukaryota; Metazoa; Chordata; Mammalia; Primates; Hominidae.
UUAAAGAGUAGCUCUUGUACCAGGGAAAUGAAGAUUUGAUCCUGCACUGCUCUUAAGACACUAUGGGAAAUACUCGUAACUUCUAAGUCUAGUUCAGAUUCUCUUGGCUGCCGAAUUCCGAAACAGUCAUAAAAUGUGAUUUGCACUCCUAGACACUCAGGAAUCUCUCCGUUACCUCAGAGAAUCUGGCCACAAACAGGACUCAGAGUGGAAAUUGCCCAACCUGUCUGCUAUCACUCUCUUGAAAGAGACAGAUCCGAUCAGCAUCUCUCAACUGUGACUCAUGAGGUAUUUUUGGCUAUGUCAAGAACAUUCUCAAACAAGGUUGUACUGAAUUUUCUCUAUUGAUUCCCCUUCCUGAACACAGUCCAUGGUCCAUUCUCUGCCUUGUACGCCCUAGUAUAGGUUCCAGGAAGCUAAACCUUACAGAGAGAAACACAGGCUCUCUUGCCACCUGAUUCUCAUGUGGGUUUGGUCGAGGAAGGACCAAGAGGAACUUGGAAAUCAGAAGGAAAAAGAGUUUAAGUAUUUCCCAACAUUCUCUCUAAGGAUUUUGCCACUUCUUUGCAGAACAAAGAAUGCACACCUACCAAAGGGCUACUUUGCACUCAGCACUGAGUUUAUAUUUAAGCUGGUAGAUUUUGAAUGAAGUAGAUUACCCUUCAUAGUAUGAAUGGACCUCAUCCAAUCAGUUGAAGGCCUGAAUAGAACAAAAGACUGACCUCCCUGAGCAAGAGAGAAUUCUGUGGCAGGCUGCCUUUGGACUUCAACUGCAACAUCAGCUCUUCCCUGGGUCUCCCACUUGACAGCCUUCGAACUUGAACUGUAGCAUCGGCUCAUCCUGGGACUCCAAUCUGCCAGACCACAGCAGAUUUUGGACUUGCCAGCCUCUAUAAUCACAUGAGCCAAUUCCUUAAAAUAAAUAUCUCUCUCCAGACACACACAUUUUAUUGGUUCUGAAUAAUACACUCUUCAUAGUCUUCUUCUUGUUAUUAUUCUUCAGUGGGAAAGGAGGAUAAGAGCAAGUAUAUACUGAGUGCUUACUAUGUGCCAAACAUUAUGUUUAUUUAUUUACUUGUUUAUUUUUAGAGACACCAUUGGCUCCUCACAAUAUCUCUAUGAAAAAUGUAU